This 497-nucleotide ribosomal RNA is filed under the name uncultured bacterium. RNAcentral's name for it is "partial 16S ribosomal RNA". It matches the Rfam family "Bacterial small subunit ribosomal RNA", at positions 28 to 507 of the family's 1533-position model. The record is from RNAcentral.
GACGAACGCUGGCGGCGUGCCUAAUACAUGCAAGUUGAGCGAUGAAGAUUGGUGCUUGCACCAAUUUGAAGAGCAGCGAACGGGUGAGUAACGCGUGGGGAAUCUGCCAUUGAGCGGGGGACAACAUUUGGAAACGAAUGCUAAUACCGCAUAACAACUUUAAACAUAAGUUUUAAGAUUGAAAGAUGCAAUUGCAUCACUCAAAGAUGAUCGCGAGUUGUCUUAGCUAGUUGGUGAGGUAAAGGCUCAGCAAGGCGAAGAUACAUAGCCGACAUGGGAGGGUGAGCGGCCACAUUGGGACGGGGACACGGCCCAAACUCCUCCGGGAGGCGGCAGUAGGGAAUCUUCGGCAAUGGACGGAAGUCUGACCGAGCAAGGCCGCAUGGGCUGAGAAGGUUUUCCGGUCGGAAAACUCUGUUUUUAGGGAAGAAAGAUGGUGUGAGUUUAAAGCUCAUCAAGUGACGGUAACUACACAGAAAGUGACGGCUAACUACGUG